Unclassified non-coding RNA from Pongo abelii (Sumatran orangutan), 148 nucleotides. It matches the Rfam family "Metazoan signal recognition particle RNA". Rfam says of the family: The signal recognition particle (SRP) is a universally conserved ribonucleoprotein. It is involved in the co-translational targeting of proteins to membranes. The record is from Ensembl. NCBI's taxonomy places the organism in Eukaryota, Metazoa, Chordata, Mammalia, Primates, Hominidae.
GCCAGGCGUGGUGGCGUAUGCCUGUAAUCCUAGCUACUCGGGAGGCUGAGGCAGGAGAAUUACUUGAACCCAGGAGGCACAGGUUGCAGUGAGUGGAGGUCACGCCACUGCACUCCAGCCUGGGUGAAAGAGUGAGAUUCCGUCUCAA